Long non-coding RNA from Alnus glutinosa, 623 nucleotides. RefSeq lists it as uncharacterized. The record is from RefSeq and is a predicted model, not a curated record. The transcript is spliced from 3 exons. Lineage: Eukaryota; Viridiplantae; Streptophyta; Magnoliopsida; Fagales; Betulaceae.
UGAGGAAAGUUCUGCACCCCAGAAAGUUAGAAACCACAUUGGCUGUGGUAAAGAAGGUCGGUCUGAGCAUGAGAGGAGAGGCCAAGAACAUGAAGAAACACAUCAACGGCACCGGAGGCAGCUGGAUCAAUCCAACAACGGAGGCCCACAUCAGAAAGUGCCCCGACGAAGUUCUGGAUCGCCCCCGCCAGGUGGACCACCCAUGGCCCACCCAAACUCGAGUAAUUACUACUGUUAGCGUUACCGAGUGCUAGGGCGGAGUAUUAAGACGCCAGCUACGACCCCGGUGUUGCUGACUUGCCGCCGCCGAUGUCCUUGAACACGGACGCGGUGUUGAGCGUUGAUUGGUCGUAGCGUUGGCUAGAUUUCCACACCGAGGAGUAGAUACCGAAGGGCGAAUGCUGGUUUAAUCCCAAAAUUCCUGUUGAAACUGCUUUGAAAGAAUCAACAUCUUUCAACGGUUCUGAAAUUCUCAAGGAAAGACUCGGAACACCAGAGGAAAACGCUUACCUUUUAGCGAGAGGUUGCAUGUGUUCACAAAAAUAAUGUGAUGGCAUUCACCACAUUAUGAGUUCUUUGCUUCUCGGAAAAACUGAGGGAGUAUUUGCUGCACCUAUUGAUCA